GUAAUUAUCCAGUUGAUAUUUAUCUUGUUCCAGUCACCUUAAGAAAGCUGUUUGGCAAGGGCAGUGACUGGAAGCUGGGAGAGAGGGUCAACAGCUGAAUCU
Molecule: non-coding RNA, 102 nt
Filed under: Pongo abelii (Sumatran orangutan)
Lineage: Eukaryota; Metazoa; Chordata; Mammalia; Primates; Hominidae
Source: RNAcentral